CUCCAAACCCAAUGUGAACGUUACCAAACUGUUGCCUCGGCGGGGUCACGCCCCGGGUGCGUCGCAGCCCCGGAACCAGGCGCCCGCCGGAGGAACCAACCAAACUCUUUCUGUAGUCCCCUCGCGGACGUAUUUCUUUACAGCUCUGAGCAAAAAUUCAAAAUGAAUCAAAACUUUCAACAACGGAUCUCUUGGUUCUGGCAUCGAUGAAGAACGCAGCGAAAUGCGAUAAGUAAUGUGAAUUGCAGAAUUCAGUGAAUCAUCGAAUCUUUGAACGCACAUUGCGCCCGCCAGUAUUCUGGCGGGCAUGCCUGUCCGAGCGUCAUUUCAACCCUCGAACCCCUCCGGGGGAUCGGCGUUGGGGAUCGGGACCCCUCACACGGGUGCCGGCCCCUAAAUACAGUGGCGGUCUCGCCGCAGCCUCUCCUGCGCAGUAGUUUGCACAACUCGCACCGGGAGCGCGGCGCGUCCACGUCCGUAAAACACCCAACUUUCUGAAAUGUUGACCUCGGAUCAGGUAGGAAUACCCGCUGAACUUAAGCAUAUCAAUAAGCCGGARGAA
This 562-nucleotide ribosomal RNA is filed under the name Trichoderma sp. PPRI 16761. RNAcentral's name for it is "eukaryotic LSU rRNA". Lineage: Eukaryota; Fungi; Ascomycota; Sordariomycetes; Hypocreales; Hypocreaceae. The record is from RNAcentral.